This is a non-coding RNA of Tursiops truncatus (common bottlenose dolphin), 71 nucleotides long. Lineage: Eukaryota; Metazoa; Chordata; Mammalia; Artiodactyla; Delphinidae. The record is from Ensembl.
GUCUUUGUAGUAUAACAAAAUACCUCGGUCUUGUAAACCGGAAAAGGAGAACCCCAUUCCUCCCUAAGACU